Molecule: ribosomal RNA, 408 nt
Filed under: uncultured bacterium
Lineage: Bacteria
Description: partial 16S ribosomal RNA
Rfam family: Bacterial small subunit ribosomal RNA
Source: RNAcentral
GACGAACGCUGGCGGCGUGCUUAACACAUGCAAGUCGAACGAAGUGGCGCACGGGUGAGUAAUACGUGUGUAACCUGCCCUCCUUUUUGGGAUAAGCCUUGGAAACGGGGUCUAAUACCGAAUAAAGGGGGAUGGGCUCGCGGCCUAUAAGCUGGUUGGUGGGGUGAUGGCCUACCAAGGCGGUGACGGGUAGCCGGCCUGAGAGGGUGAGCGGCAACAUUGGGACGAGGAUAAGGCCCAGACUACUACGGGAAGCAGCAGUGGGGGAUAUUGCACAAAGGGAGAAAGACGGAUGCAGCGAAGCCGCGUGGAGAAUGAAGGCUUUCGGGUUGUAAACCUCUUUCGCUAUCGAAAGGGUAGGUGGAGGAGAAACGCCGGCUAACUACGUGCCAGCAGCCGCGGUAAUAC